This 488-nucleotide ribosomal RNA is filed under the name uncultured bacterium. Its description in RNAcentral is "bacterial SSU rRNA". It matches the Rfam family "Bacterial small subunit ribosomal RNA", at positions 28 to 507 of the family's 1533-position model. The record is from RNAcentral.
GAUGAACGCUAGCGUAUAGGCUUAACACAUGCAAGUCGAGGGGCAUCACGGAAUAGCAAUAUUUGGUGGCGACCGGCGCACGGGUGAGUAACACGUAUCCAACCUUCCCAUGAACUCGGGGAUAGCCUUUCGAAAGAAAGAUUAAUACCCGAUAGUACUUUUUUGAGGCAUCUUAAGAAAGUUAAAGAUUUAUUGGUUAUGGAUGGGGAUGCGUUCCAUUAGAUUGUUGGUGAGGUAACGGCUCACCAAGUCUUCGAUGGAUAGGGGUUCUGAGAGGAAGGUCCCCCACAUUGGUACUGAGACACGGACCAAACUCCCUACGGGAGGCAGCAGUGAGGAAUAUUGGUCAAUGGGCGAGAGCCUGAACCAGCCAAGUAGCGUGAAGGAUGAAGGUCCUAUGGAUUGUAAACUUCUUUUAUAGUAGAAUAAAGUGAUCCACGUGUGGAUUUUUGUAUGUAUACUAUGAAUAAGGAUCGGCUAACUCCGUG